GAGUUUGAUCGUGGCUCAGAUUGAACGCUGGCGGCAGGCCUAACACAUGCAAGUCGAGCGGUAGAGAGAAGCUUGCUUCUCUUGAGAGCGGCGGACGGGUGAGUAAUGCCUAGGAAUCUGCCUGGUAGUGGGGAUAACGCUCGGAAACGGACGCUAAUACCGCAUACGUCCUACGGGAGAAAGCAGGGGACCUUCGGGCCUUGCGCUAUCAGAUGAGCCUAGGUCGGAUUAGCUAGUUGGUGAGGUAAUGGCUCACCAAGGCGACGAUCCGUAACUGGUCUGAGAGGAUGAUCAGUCACACUGGAACUGAGACACGGUCCAGACUCCUACGGGAGGCAGCAGUGGGGAAUAUUGGACAAUGGGCGAAAGCCUGAUCCAGCCAUGCCGCGUGUGUGAAGAAGGUCUUCGGAUUGUAAAGCACUUUAAGUUGGGAGAAGGGCAGUAAAUUAAUACUUUGCUGUUUUGACGUUUACCGACAGAAUAAGCACCGGCUAACUCUGUGCCAGCCGCCG
Molecule: ribosomal RNA, 512 nt
Filed under: uncultured bacterium
Lineage: Bacteria
Description: bacterial SSU rRNA
Rfam family: Bacterial small subunit ribosomal RNA
Source: RNAcentral